Long non-coding RNA from Mytilus californianus (California mussel), 1186 nucleotides. RefSeq lists it as uncharacterized. The transcript has 5 exons. NCBI's taxonomy places the organism in Eukaryota, Metazoa, Mollusca, Bivalvia, Mytilida, Mytilidae. The record is from RefSeq and is a predicted model, not a curated record.
UCAUAGCAUAAGGCCCUAUUAUUAGUAAAGUAAAAUGGAGAGUUGUGAAACAUAGAUACUUAACAAAACAAAGCAAAACAUACAAAGAUGGCUACACAACGUGAUAAUUACCUUCGUAUAAAUAAUCUGUUCCACAAAAUUGCGGAACCAACAAUUGAUAAACAGAUGGAAAAUUACCUCCACAGAACAAACCAAUCGCUGGAGAAAUUUCUCAACAAUACAAAUAUUAAGCAUACAAUCAUGCAUUUGUACUGGAACGAUAAAGUGUGCUGUGAGAAUGUUCAAAACUGCACCAGUUCCAAGAAUCGUCCAAUCAGCCGUGACAAGCUUGAUGCUUAUUAUGAUUACGGUUACAAGAUAAACUCACAUUGUAAUAUUCACCCAUGUCUGUGUCACAUUAUUGCCAAACGCAUCUUGUCUCGAGAUCUAGAGAUGCCACAACUUGCUUUCUUAUUUCGGCAAUUCGAAAUUUUGUCGCCAGACAUUUUAGAAUCGGUCGAUAUCAUUCUCAAAGUCCAUACAAAGUUGAAGCUUGACUACACAGACCAACGAAUAAGAGCAAAUGACUUUGAAAAGAUGUGGGCUACCUUAUCUCCAAAUCUCCAAAAGUUAGGAGCAACACAGCAUGAUAUUGGCUUGGUCAGAAUUAGCACAAUUGAAGACUCAAAGAUAAAGCAGAUCGAUAUGACAAGCCCACAAAGGAGAUGUACAGAACUGACGUUGAUCAUCAUCAAUUUAAUAGUUAUUUUGGUUUUACUGGUUGCUGUUAUUGCCUUAGUGAUUACCAUUGCUAUUUAUACCUUCUAAAAGGACUAAGAUUAACAGACAGAGAGUAUGAAGAAACAAACCAAUGAUACAAUGGAAAUGAAUGACAAUGACAUCAAUCCUAUUCCAAUGACGUGUUUCUAUGUUUGACAAGAUUAACAUCAAACAUCCAUUUAAUAAUGCAUGGAAAUAUCCAUAUUUAUCUCCAAAUCGAAUAGAAUUGUUUUCAUAAAACUGACAUGAUUUAAAUGGUAUCACAUUUUGAUUUUAAAUUUUCAUUUCAUAUCGCUGUCAUGUGCUCUUUAAUGUUUAUUGUUUAUAUGUUGAUUUUUAGCAGAUGCGAGUAAUUUUUCAAACUGAAAUUGAAUGUACAUACUCUUUCAUACAAAAUAUAAUUUAUUUGUUUAUUCAUGACAUAGAA